Molecule: ribosomal RNA, 305 nt
Filed under: uncultured bacterium
Lineage: Bacteria
Description: bacterial SSU rRNA
Rfam family: Bacterial small subunit ribosomal RNA
Source: RNAcentral
CUAAACCUACGGGACGCAGCAGUAGGGAAUCUUCCACAAUGGGCGAAAGCCUGAUGGAGCAACGCCGCGUGGGUGAAGAAGGUCUUCGGAUCGUAAAACCCUGUUGUUAGAGAAGAAAGUGCGUGAGAGUAACUGUUCACGUUUCGACGGUAUCUAACCAGAAAGCCACGGCUAACUACGUGCCAGCAGCCGCGGUAAUACGUAGGUGGCAAGCGUUAUCCGGAUUUAUUGGGCGUAAAGGGAACGCAGGCGGGCUUUUAAGUCUGAUGUGAAAGCCUUCGGCUUAACCGCAGUAGAGCAUUGGA